RNAcentral lists this long non-coding RNA (543 nucleotides) under Oryza brachyantha (malo sina). Its description in RNAcentral is "long non-coding RNA (OBRA_LNC002237)". The record is from RNAcentral. Lineage: Eukaryota; Viridiplantae; Streptophyta; Magnoliopsida; Poales; Poaceae.
CGAGUGAAUGUUGCAAGAAUAAAAAUAUGUUUCAAGUGUUUAUGCAAAUGACCUAAUGUGGCAAUUAAAAUCAUCCCUUUGCUAGGUCAUUACCCCUCUUUAUAGUAUGGCAAAGCUAAAAAGAAACUAUUCAAAUUUGAUCGCCCUUCGCCUCGAUCAAUUUAAAACUAAUACCGAAGUUUACCGUUUCUUUUCUUCGGUUCGUGCCUCCAAUCUUUUAAUCCUUCGAUAAUUAUCCAUGUGCAUCAAGGACAUGGUACUAACUCAAAUAUUUAACUUAAAGGGAAACGGUUAGUCCACAAUUAGCAUUUUUCAUUAAUUACUAAAAUUAACAACGGGGGCCUAGAUGCUUCAAUGUACAGUGAUGAAACUCGUAUGAAACACAGAUUCGCAUGGACAUAAUAGAGCAACAUAUGAAUCAUGGAUUUGCACAGCCGAACUGAUCUAUCACACAAGUACAACCGAUCAUAACACGAUAGCAACCAUGACUUGUGACUACACAGCUUGAACAACAACUUUGCAUGCAUGAAUCCAAAAAUUUAC